GAUGAACGCUGGCGGCGUGCCUAAUACAUGCAAGUCGAGCGAACGGACGAGAAGCUUGCUUCUCUGAUGUUAGCGGCGGACGGGUGAGUCACACGUGGAUAACCUACCUAUAAGACUGGGAUAACUUCGGGAAACCGGAGCUAAUACCGGAUAAUCUUUUGAACCGCAUUGUUCAAAAGUGAAAUACGGUCUUGCUGGCACGUAUAGAUGGAUCCGCGCUGCAUUAGCUAGUUGGUAAGGUAACGGCUUACCAAGGCAACGAUGCAUAGCCGACCUGAGAGGGUGAUCGGCCACACUGGAACUGAGACACGGUCCAGAGUCCUAAGGGAGGCAGCAGUAGGGAACCGGCCGCAAUGGGCGAAAGCCUGACGGAGCAACGCCGCGUGAGUGAUGAAGGUCUUCGGAUCGUAAAACUCUGUUAUUAGGGAAGAACAUAUGUGUAAGUAACUGUGCACAUCUUGACGGUACCUAAUCAGAAAGCCACGGCUAACUACGUG
This 497-nucleotide ribosomal RNA is filed under the name uncultured bacterium. Its description in RNAcentral is "partial 16S ribosomal RNA". It matches the Rfam family "Bacterial small subunit ribosomal RNA", at positions 28 to 507 of the family's 1533-position model. The record is from RNAcentral.